GGCUUUUGCAAUCACCAUAGGAAGAAGAUUCCACAGUAGCCUGUGAUUCCAGAAGAAUGAAAGACAUGUGGAGCAGCUAUGGACCAAGUUAACUAGAAGCCAACUUAGAUUAGCCAUUCUUCAGCCACAGACAUGCAGCACGUGGUUGGGUGCAGCUUGCAAUCACAAAUCAAAACGGAAGAGGAAGAGGACAACUGUAUAAAGCAGCGUGAUUUAAGUUGAUCUGUGGGACAAAGAGUUAAGCCACAAAUAUUUGGGGAGAGAGAUAUUCAAACAUCCCAACAACUUGGAGCAGCAUGGGAUUUCUAAAGAAGCUGACAAAGGAGAAAAGGCCCAAGAAAGCAACUCUGAAUCAAAAAGCCAUUAACUCUUUGAGAAUGUCUUACUGGUCUUACUCUGACCAGUAAGAAAGAGUAGACAGAACAAUAAAACUUUAUCUUUUUUCCCUUAUGUGCACUACUCUGGGACAUUUUCUCUCAACUGCUUGUCCAGAUAUGUCCUGUGGCUCCCUAUUAAGUGAUGGCACCUGUUAUACAGCUGCGUGUGAAGGAGUGGCCAGUAACACGUCACUUUGCAUUACUUUCCAUCCUCUGUUCUUCCUUUCCUUUUCCCUCACUUUUGCUGGCUGGGAUUUUAUCUCAAAAUAAGAUAUUAGCUCUUAACCCUUGCCUAAGACUCUAUUUUAGGAUAGCAUGGAAUAAGAUCGUGGAUUAUCUUUGAAAUUAUCCAGGCUAUUUCUAUUGAAAAAGACACUAUUAAAAUGACCAUAGUAAGUAAUGUAUUAAGAUGGGAUUUUCUUUAGAAAUGUUACCAUAAAUUCAUAUUUUGUUUUGAUUUCCAAGUAGACUUACCAGUUUAACAUAAU
Molecule: long non-coding RNA, 865 nt
Filed under: Homo sapiens (human)
Lineage: Eukaryota; Metazoa; Chordata; Mammalia; Primates; Hominidae
Description: HSALNT0393640
Source: RNAcentral